GGGUGGAGGAGGCGGUGGUGGAGGUUGUUUGUAUGAGUUCGCGUUCGGAUAGGCUGAGGUAGAGUUUGAGUUUGAGGUGCUCGUUGGGAUAAGUAGGUUGAAGUAUUCUGUAAGCAGUUAGGCAUAAGGGUCUGAGCUUCUGAAACAAAUUUGGACGUUAGUUGAAAGCAUAUAAAUGGGUAAGACUCUUCGGGAUAAGUGAAGAAUUGGAGACAGGGAAACAGUCCAGCUGGACUCGCAGAUUUAGAGAUGGGCAGUGGCAUGGGGGAGCAGGAUAAGAAAAGUCGGCGAGGUAAGAAGAAAAACAGGGCGACAUUUUGAAAGCCAAGGGAGCAAGUUUGAAGGCCGCCUCCUGGAGGUCAAGAGGAGGAUGACAAAUCUAUUCUAGCCUCGGUCAAACCGGAUUCCGAGGAGUGCAGGCGGGUGGGGGUGGGGCGGAGACACGCCGCUGCGGGCGACUUAAGUUUAGGGGCGAGAAAGGAGGCAGCCUUAGUAGUACAUGUAUUUUUAAAGGGAAUUUGGCUGUGACGAGACAGAAAGGGCGGGACUUGGCAGUUUAGAGCUCAAGGGGAUCAUCGGCUUCAGAAUCCCCUACUCUUUCGUGAGAGUAACUCUCCGUCUAAGGAUGUCUUCUGCAGUUCCUUAGGGUCCAUAUUGGGAUUUCCCGGCUGUAAACUAAACAAAGCAAAGCAAAACAAAACAAAAACCCACAGUGCCUCUCAGUAAAACAAAACCAGUAUUUUGUUUGAAAGCCUGCUCUCUUUAAAGAUCCUGGCAUGCAAAUAAGGGGCUUUAAUGUGGCUCUCAGCGAUUGGUAGAUACUUACAAAAUCCGUCAUUUCCUUUCAGUGCAGGACGCAAACCAAGAGG
RNAcentral lists this long non-coding RNA (869 nucleotides) under Homo sapiens (human). RNAcentral describes it as "HSALNT0014867". The record is from RNAcentral. Lineage: Eukaryota; Metazoa; Chordata; Mammalia; Primates; Hominidae.